Molecule: ribosomal RNA, 251 nt
Filed under: uncultured bacterium
Lineage: Bacteria
Description: partial 16S ribosomal RNA
Rfam family: Bacterial small subunit ribosomal RNA
Source: RNAcentral
UACGUAGGUCCCGAGCGUUGUCCGGAUUUAUUGGGCGUAAAGCGAGCGCAGGUGGUUUAUUAAGUCUGGUGUAAAAGGCAGUGGCUCAACCAUUGUAUGCAUUGGAAACUGGUAGACUGAGUGCAGGAGAGGAGAGUGGAAUUCCAUGUGUAGCGGUGAAAUGCGUAGAUAUAUGGAGGAACACCGGUGGCGAAAGCGGCUCUCUGGCCUGUAACUGACACUGAGGCUCGAAAGCGUGGGGAGCAAACAGG